AACUAACGCUGGCGGCGUGCCUAACACAUGCAAGUCGUACGAGAAAGCCGGCUUCGGCUGGUGAGUAAAGUGGCGCACGGGUGAGUAACGCGUGGAUAAUCUGCCCUUAAGUGUGGAAUAACGUACCGAAAGGUGCGCUAAUACCGCAUAAUGCCUGGCAACACAAGUUGUCCGGCCAAAGAAGGCCUCUGUUUACAAGCUUUCGCUUCAGGAUGAGUCCGCGUACCAUUAGCUUGUUGGUGGGGUAAUGGCCUACCAAGGCUGCGAUGGUUAGCUGGUCUGAGAGGAUGAUCAGCCACACUGGAACUGAGACACGGUCCAGACUCCUACGGGAGGCAGCAGUGAGGAAUAUUGCGCAAUGGGGGCAACCCUGACGCAGCAACGCCGCGUGAGUGAGGAAGGUUUUCGGGUUGUAAAGCCCUGUGGGGAGGGAUGAAUAAGGUAUGGCUAAUACCUAUACUGAUGACAGUACCUCCUUAGCAAGCACC
Molecule: ribosomal RNA, 488 nt
Filed under: uncultured bacterium
Lineage: Bacteria
Description: bacterial SSU rRNA
Rfam family: Bacterial small subunit ribosomal RNA
Source: RNAcentral